GACGAACGCUGGCGGCGUGCCUAAUACAUGCAAGUUGAGCGAUGAAGAUUGGUGCUUGCACCAAUUUGAAGAGCAGCGAACGGGUGAGUAACGCGUGGGGAAUCUGCCUUUGAGCGGGGACAACAUUUGGAAACGAAUGCUAAUACCGCAUAACAACUUUAAACAUAAGUUUUAAGUUUGAAAGAUGCAAUUGCAUCACUCAAAGAUGAUCCCGCGUUGUAUUAGCUAGUUGGUGAGGUAAAGGCUCACCAAGGCGAUGAUACAUAGCCGACCUGAGAGGGUGAUCGGCCACAUUGGGACUGAGACACGGCCCAAACUCCUACGGGAGGCAGCAGUAGGGAAUCUUCGGCAAUGGACGAAAGUCUGACCGAGCAACGCCGCGUGAGUGAAGAAGGUUUUCGGAUCGUAAAACCCUGUUGGUAGAGAAGAACGUUGGUGAGAGUGGAAAGCUCAUCAAGUGACGGUAACUACCCAGAAAGGGGCGGCUAACUACGUG
Molecule: ribosomal RNA, 496 nt
Filed under: uncultured bacterium
Lineage: Bacteria
Description: partial 16S ribosomal RNA
Rfam family: Bacterial small subunit ribosomal RNA
Source: RNAcentral